Molecule: ribosomal RNA, 471 nt
Filed under: uncultured Corynebacteriaceae bacterium
Lineage: Bacteria; Bacillati; Actinomycetota; Actinomycetes; Mycobacteriales; Corynebacteriaceae
Description: bacterial SSU rRNA
Rfam family: Bacterial small subunit ribosomal RNA
Source: RNAcentral
CGAACGCUGCGGCGUGCUUAACACAUGCAAGUCGAACGAAGGACCCUGCUUGCAGGGUACGUCGAGUGGUGAACCGGGUGAGUAACGACUGGGUGAGUCUGCCCUGCGACUUCGGGAGUAAGGACUUGGGAAACUGGGUCUAAUACCGGAUAGGAGCCAUCUUUAGUGUGGUGGUUGGAAAGUUUUUUCGGUUGUAGGAUGAGCUCGCGGCCUAUCAGCUUGUUGUGGGGUAAUGGCCGUACCAAGGCGGCGACGGGUAGCCGGCCUGAGAGGGUGUACGGCCACAUUGGGACUGAGAUACGGCCCAGACUCCUACGGGAGGCAGCAGUGGGGAAUAUUGCACAAUGGGCGCUUAAGCCUGAUGCAGCGACGCCGCGUGGGGGAUGAAGGCCUUCGGGUUGUAAACUCCUUUCGCUAGGGACGAAGCUUUGUGUGACGGUACCUAGAUAAGAAGCACCGGCUAACUACGUG